RNAcentral lists this long non-coding RNA (844 nucleotides) under Phasianus colchicus (ring-necked pheasant). RNAcentral's name for it is "lncRNA (ENSPCLG00000020843.1)". The record is from RNAcentral. Lineage: Eukaryota; Metazoa; Chordata; Aves; Galliformes; Phasianidae.
UGCUGAGACAUUUAAAGAGUGUGGGAAUUUUGUUUAGUAUGGGUGCAUUAUUUCUUUUUUGCAGGUUACAGACUGUGGCUCCGUCACUUUGCCAGCUGCCUUUCUGCCUUAGCAGCUCUCAGUAUUGUUCUGUGUCUUGGAACUGCAGGUUUUCCACAAAAGAAAAUUUGGUUGUGUCAAGAUUGCACUUUUGCAUUAAUGAACUGUCAGAAAACCCGAGAGAAUACAACCAAAGAGUUUGGUUUCUAAGUGGAUGCAGAUGAGCCAAAAUACAAGGAUUGCAAAAAAUGUGUUUUAACCAGACUCUGAAGCCCCAGGCCCAUAAAUACUGAGAACUUUUCAGGAGGCUAAUUCCUUCAUUUCUCCCAUGCCAUAAUUGCUUAUCUCAUUAAGAGAUUGCUCCAUUAAAUUUAUAUUUGUAUUUUUUAUAUCUUAUAUUUGAAAACAUGAAUGCAUAAUGUCUCCCUGGGACUCUGCACCAUUAUGAUGAAAGAUACAAAUGCAGUCUAAGACAGACAUGUUUAAUUAGUGAGCAAACUUGACAUUUUCAGUGUUUAGGCUAGACAGACAAAAAGCCAAGAGCAAAUUAGCAUGAUUUUUUCCUUAAUUUUAUUUUUUAGAUUGUAGACAGAAAAUAAUUUAUUGAACUGAAAUGAAAAUGAAACUUCUCUACAUAUGUAGUGGAUAAAAGACUGUAAGAAUUAGGACUUGGUAUUUAAUCACAAAUCCGAAUAUUCCAAAUACUUAUAUCAUUUUUGAAUGACAUCUCAAAUGCUGUAGGCAGCAGUGGCAGACCCACAUCUUUGAUAAUAAAAAAUAUUAAAUCAUCUCCUUUUGAAACUCA